UGAGCAUGGGAUACUACAUUGGGAAUAGUCG
RNAcentral lists this transfer RNA (31 nucleotides) under Pterygiella tenuisecta. RNAcentral's name for it is "partial tRNA-Phe". Lineage: Eukaryota; Viridiplantae; Streptophyta; Magnoliopsida; Lamiales; Orobanchaceae. RNAcentral also lists the same sequence under 4 other names. The record is from RNAcentral.